UGGGGAAUAUUGGACAAUGGGCGAAAGCCUGAUCCAGCAAUGCCGCGUGAGUGAUGAAGGCCUUAGGGUUGUAAAGCUCUUUUACCCGGGAUGAUAAUGACAGUACCGGGAGAAUAAGCUCCGGCUAACUCCGUGCCAGCAGCCGCGGUAAUACGGAGGGAGCUAGCGUUGUUCGGAAUUACUGGGCGUAAAGCGCACGUAGGCGGCUUUGUAAGUUAGAGGUGAAAGCCUGGAGCUCAACUCCAGAAUUGCCUUUAAGACUGCAUCGCUCGAAUCCAGGAGAGGUGAGUGGAAUUCCGAGUGUAGAGGUGAAAUUCGUAGAUAUUCGGAAGAACACCAGUGGCGAAGGCGGCUCACUGGACUGGUAUUGACGCUGAGGUGCGAAAAGCGUGGGGAGCAAACAGGAUUAGAUACCCUGGUAGUCCACGCCGUAAAACGAUGAUAACUAGCUGUCCGGGAACUUGGUUCUUGGGUGGCGCAGCUAACGCAUUAAGUUAUCCGCCU
Molecule: ribosomal RNA, 504 nt
Filed under: uncultured bacterium
Lineage: Bacteria
Description: partial 16S ribosomal RNA
Rfam family: Bacterial small subunit ribosomal RNA
Source: RNAcentral